RNAcentral lists this ribosomal RNA (253 nucleotides) under uncultured bacterium. Its description in RNAcentral is "partial 16S ribosomal RNA". It matches the Rfam family "Bacterial small subunit ribosomal RNA", at positions 524 to 776 of the family's 1533-position model. The record is from RNAcentral.
UACGAGAGGCCCAAACGUUAUUCGGAAUUACUGGGCUUAAAGAGUUCGUAGGCGGCGCAGAAAGUAGGGUGUGAAAGCCCUCGGCUCAACCGAGGAGUUGCGCUCUAAACUGCUGUGCUUGAGGGACCUAGAGGUGAGCAGAACUGAUGGUGGAGCGGUGAAAUGCGUUGAUAUCAUCAGGGAUACCGGAGGCGAAGGCGGCUCACUGGGGGUCUUCUGACGCUGAGGAACGAAAGCCAGGGGAGCGAACGGG